ACGCCCGCAAGGUUAAAACUCAAAGGAAUUGACGGGGACCCGCACAAGCGGUGGAUUAUGUGGAUUAAUUCGAUGCAACGCGAAAAACCUUACCUACCCUUGACAUGUACGGAACCUCGCAGAGAUGUGAGGGUGCCCGAAAGGGAGCCGUAACACAGGUGCUGCAUGGCUGUCGUCAGCUCGUGUCGUGAGAUGUUGGGUUAAGUCCCGCAACGAGCGCAACCCUUGCCAUUAGUUGCUACAUUCAGUUGGGCACUCUAAUGGGACUGCCGGUGACAAACCGGAGGAAGGUGGGGAUGACGUCAAGUCCUCAUGGCCCUUAUGGGUAGGGCUUCACACGUAAUACAAUGGCCGGUACAAAGGGCUGCCAACCCGCGAGGGGGAGCAAAUCCCAGAAAGCCGGUCGUAGUCCGGAUUGUUCUCUGCAACUCGAGAGCAUGAAGUCGGAAUCGCUAGUAAUCGUGGAUCAGCAUGUCACGGUGAAUACGUUCCCGGGUCUUGUACACACCGCCCGUCACACCAUGGGAGUGGGUUCCACCAGAAGUAGUUAGCCUAACCGCAAGGGGGGCGACUACCACGGUGAGAUUCAUGACUGGGGUG
RNAcentral lists this ribosomal RNA (600 nucleotides) under uncultured bacterium. Its description in RNAcentral is "bacterial SSU rRNA". It matches the Rfam family "Bacterial small subunit ribosomal RNA", at positions 882 to 1482 of the family's 1533-position model. The record is from RNAcentral.